GAGUCACCGUUCUUGACAUACGGCCGUCUGUGGGGUUGGAGCUGCCCUGGGUUCCAGCUCGUGCGCCAGCGGCCCACACGUCCACACAUCAGGCUUUUUAUUGUUCCUUCCACUGGGGAGGAGCUUAAAUCUUCAGACAACUCUGGACCAAAGUUUGUGAUACACCACGGCAGGGACCUUGGUACGCUCUGAAGUUGACCCCAAGAUAUGUUGGUGAUGUCACCAAAACCAUUCCCUUUCAUGAUGUAUGCAGAACGGGACCAACAGGAAGUGUCAAAGUAAUGAAUGUGCUGUGCAUUCUGCUUCACAAAACCACAGUCAGAAUACAGAUAAUUAUUUGUUUAUUACUAAAACUCUUUAUCAGACUUCAUUGUUUUGUUUUUUUUGUUUGUUUGUUUUUUUUCUUUGACAGUUAAUUAAAAAAUUCUGAGGUUUAACUUUA
Anguilla rostrata (American eel) is the source of this 442-nucleotide long non-coding RNA. RefSeq lists it as uncharacterized. Lineage: Eukaryota; Metazoa; Chordata; Actinopteri; Anguilliformes; Anguillidae. The record is from RefSeq and is a predicted model, not a curated record. The transcript is spliced from 3 exons.